This 52-nucleotide transfer RNA is filed under the name Scinax sp. QCAZ43681. RNAcentral describes it as "partial tRNA-Gln". The record is from RNAcentral. Lineage: Eukaryota; Metazoa; Chordata; Amphibia; Anura; Hylidae.
UUAGAAAGAUAGGAAUCGAACCUACACCUGAGAGAUCAAAACCCCCCGUAAU